ACGAACGCUGGCGGCAUGCUUAACACAUGCAAGUCGAACGGAAAGGCCCUGCUUUUGUGGGGUGCUCGAGUGGCGAACGGGUGAGUAACACGUGAGUAACCUGCCCUUGACUUUGGGAUAACUUCAGGAAACUGGGGCUAAUACCGGAUAGGAGCUCCUGCUGCAUGGUGGGGGUUGGAAAGUUUCGGCGGUUGGGGAUGGACUCGCGGCUUAUCAGCUUGUUGGUGGGGUAGUGGCUUACCAAGGCUUUGACGGGUAGCCGGCCUGAGAGGGUGACCGGCCACAUUGGGACUGAGAUACGGCCCAGACUCCUACGGGAGGCAGCAGUGGGGAAUAUUGCACAAUGGGCGGAAGCCUGAUGCAGCAACGCCGCGUGCGGGAUGACGGCCUUCGGGUUGUAAACCGCUUUCGCCUGUGACGAAGCGUGAGUGACGGUAAUGGGUAAAGAAGCACCGGCUAACUACGUG
Molecule: ribosomal RNA, 467 nt
Filed under: uncultured bacterium
Lineage: Bacteria
Description: partial 16S ribosomal RNA
Rfam family: Bacterial small subunit ribosomal RNA
Source: RNAcentral